AACGAACGCUGGCGGCAUGCCUAACACAUGCAAGUCGAACGAGACCUUCGGGUCUAGUGGCGCACGGGUGCGUAACGCGUGGGAACCUGCCCUUAGGUUCGGAAUAACUCCCGAAAGGGGUGCUAAUACCGGAUAAUGUCUUCGGACCAAAGAUUUAUCGCCUUUGGAUGGGCCCGCGUUGGAUUAGCUAGUUGGUAGGGUAAAAGCCUACCAAGGCGACGAUCCAUAGCUGGUCUGAGAGGAUGAUCAGCCACACUGGGACUGAGACACGGCCCAGACUCCUACGGGAGGCAGCAGUGGGGAAUAUUGGGCAAUGGGCGAAAGCCUGAUCCAGCAAUGCCGCGUGAGUGAUGAAGGCCUUAGGGUUGUAAAGCUCUUUUACCCGGGAUGAUAAUGACAGUACCGGGAGAAUAAGCUCCGGCUAACUCCGUG
RNAcentral lists this ribosomal RNA (432 nucleotides) under uncultured bacterium. Its description in RNAcentral is "partial 16S ribosomal RNA". It matches the Rfam family "Bacterial small subunit ribosomal RNA", at positions 29 to 507 of the family's 1533-position model. The record is from RNAcentral.